RNAcentral lists this ribosomal RNA (253 nucleotides) under uncultured bacterium. RNAcentral's name for it is "partial 16S ribosomal RNA". It matches the Rfam family "Bacterial small subunit ribosomal RNA", at positions 524 to 776 of the family's 1533-position model. The record is from RNAcentral.
UACGGAGGAGGCAAGCGUUAUCCGGAAUUAUUGGGCGUAAAGCGUCCGCAGGUGGCACCUCAAGUCUGCUGUCAAAGACCGGGGCUUAACCCCAGAAAGGCAGUGGAAACUGAAGUGCUAGAGUGCAGUAGGGGUAGAGGGAAUUCCCAGUGUAGCGGUGAAAUGCGUAGAGAUCGGGAAGAACAUCGGUGGCGAAAGCGCUCUGCUGGACUGCAACUGACACUCAGGGACGAAAGCUAGGGGAGCGAGUGGG